AACGUUUGACCGUUCGUUUUAUUUGAAAUUUUUUUAUGAUUAGUAUUUUUAUUGUUAUUAGUAGAUGAUAAAACAUGAAAAAAAAUAUUUUUUGUGUCACUAUUUUUUUUAUUUUUUUAUAAACUUUUCAAAUAAGACGGACGGUCAAAUGUU
RNAcentral lists this microRNA precursor (153 nucleotides) under Oryza sativa Indica Group (long-grained rice). RNAcentral describes it as "MIR812 microRNA precursor family". It matches the Rfam family "MIR812 microRNA precursor family", at positions 30 to 176 of the family's 205-position model. Lineage: Eukaryota; Viridiplantae; Streptophyta; Magnoliopsida; Poales; Poaceae. The record is from Rfam by way of RNAcentral.